GACGAACGCUGGCGGCGUGCUUAACACAUGCCAGUCGAACGGAAAGGCCCUGCUUUUGUGGGGUGCUCGAGUGGCGAACGGGUGAGUAACACGUGAGUAACCUGCCCUUGACUUUGGGAUAACUUCAGGAAACUGGGGCUAAUACCGGAUAGGAGCUCCUGCUGCAUGGUGGGGGUUGGAAAGUUUCGGCGGUUGGGGAUGGACUCGCGGCUUAUCAGCUUUUUGGUGGGGUAGUGGCUUACCAAGGCUUUGACGGGUAGCCGGCCUGAGAGGGUGACCGGCGACAUUGGGACUGAGAUACGGCCCAGACUCCUACGGGAGGCAGCAGUGGGGAAUAUUGCACAAUGGGCGGAAGCCUGAUGCAGCAACGCCGCGUGCGGGAUGACGGCCUUCGGGUUGUAAACCGCUUUCGCCUGUGACGAAGCGUGAGUGACGGUAAUGGGUAAAGAAGCACCGGCUAACUACGUG
This 468-nucleotide ribosomal RNA is filed under the name uncultured bacterium. Its description in RNAcentral is "partial 16S ribosomal RNA". It matches the Rfam family "Bacterial small subunit ribosomal RNA", at positions 28 to 507 of the family's 1533-position model. The record is from RNAcentral.